GGGCACAUUGGAGAUGGUUAUCACAUCCGCUUAGCAUCGCGGUAUGAGAUGUGUCAUGCGGGGGGUGCUGGGUUCAAUUCCCAGUGUGUCCA
This is a non-coding RNA of Marasmius tenuissimus, 92 nucleotides long. The record is from the annotation of a GenBank genome assembly. NCBI's taxonomy places the organism in Eukaryota, Fungi, Basidiomycota, Agaricomycetes, Agaricales, Marasmiaceae.